This 318-nucleotide ribosomal RNA is filed under the name uncultured Bacteroidota bacterium. Its description in RNAcentral is "bacterial SSU rRNA". It matches the Rfam family "Bacterial small subunit ribosomal RNA", at positions 28 to 351 of the family's 1533-position model. Lineage: Bacteria; Pseudomonadati; Bacteroidota. The record is from RNAcentral.
GAUGAACGCUAGCGGGAGGCUUAACACAUGCAAGUCGAGGGGUAUAGUAGCAAUACUAGAGACCGGCGCACGGGUGAGUAACGCGUAUGCAACCUGCCCUUUACAGGGGGAUAGCCCGUCGAAAGGCGGAUUAAUACCCCAUAAUAUGGUACACUCGCAUGAGUGAACUAUAAAAGCUGCGGCGGUAAAGGAUGGGCAUGCGUGACAUUAGCUAGUUGGUAGGGUAACGGCCUACCAAGGCUACGAUGUCUAGGGGUUCUGAGAGGAAGGUCCCCCACACUGGUACUGAGACACGGACCAGACUCCUACGGGAGGCAG